UCCGAGUUGACCCCGGCAGUCUCUUACGAGUCCCCACCAUAACGUGCUGGCUUAAUUCGAUGCAACGCGAAGAACCUUACCCGGGCUAAAUCCGUGAUAACCGCCCCCGAAACGGGGCUUCCCUUCGGGGCAUCAUGGAAGGUGCUGCAUGGCUGUCGUCAGCUCGUGCCGUGAGGUGUUGCCUUAAGUGACGCAACGAGCGCAACCCCUGUGGUUAGUUACCAGCACGUUGUGGUGGGGACUCUAGCCAGACUGCCUACGCAAGUAGUGAGGAAGGUGGGGAUGACGUAAGCCUAUCGAGA
Molecule: unclassified non-coding RNA, 302 nt
Filed under: uncultured Bacteroidota bacterium
Lineage: Bacteria; Pseudomonadati; Bacteroidota
Description: uncultured Bacteroidetes bacterium contains 16S-23S intergenic spacer region
Rfam family: Bacterial small subunit ribosomal RNA (bases 48-302)
Source: RNAcentral